GCCCUUUGCCAAACGUUCUUCCAAGGUCGAGAACUUGCUACAUCCUUUCGGUUUUCUUCUAGCAUAAGGCUCAUCCUUUGGGAAGGUCUCAAAUUGCCUCCCUUUCUCGACCAACUUUAAUCUAAAUUGCGUCAAGCUGUCAAUAUCUCCCUUCCCAAUUAACUCUGCCACGAUAUCAUUUCUGGGUUGCGUUGAAAUUUUCUUAAUCAGAGCUUCAAUUUUAUCCGACAUUUCAGAACUGUUUUGUAGUUCAAAAUUGCAGGCCUACUUAAGCGUUCCUGGAGACCAGUCCACAUAAGAAUCGAACAGUACUGUAAGAACUCAAAUUCACGUUGAUUUUGAAGUUAUCCUCUUGAAAAGUGCUAAAAAUUUUCUUAAAACAGUUCAGAUUUCUUGAGCUUAAAAAAUAACAUCCACCAUCUUGAUUAGUUACGAUAAUCGGCUUACAAAUAAUCGGCCUCAGUAAUCGGCAAUUUUCCUUAUCGGCUCAUCCCUAUUUUAUUGCAGGGGACACUAUUUGCCUUAUAUUUUUUCCUAAUCUAUCCAACAUUGGAAGGUGGUAUAAAACUGAUUAAAUUGUAAUUAUGCAUGGUGUUUCAUUAGUUUUUGCCAGGAUUGUGCUGGGUGAGCUUCCCAGUUAGGCAGGGUAGAAAUGUCUCUUCCUGUGAUUGCAUAAACAAUUAGGCCCUUAGUUCAAGAUUAUUCCUUACGAUCCUAUAGCAUGGACAAGUUUAAUCUAACAAAAGUACCUGUAAUGUUUAUAUAUUGCUUCUCUUUAGAGAGAAUGCAGAAAGAAUAUAGGGAAGGAAUUGCUAAAGAUGACAUCCAACCAGGAGGUACAGUAUGCUGACCAGGGCAUGACAUUUAAUGUUUUUAGCAAACAUCAAGAGCGAUAUCAGGCUUUGUAUUGACUUAAGUUUAUAGAUUCACCCUACUUCCUUGUCAAUAAAGAUUAAAGGCCAAGUUAAAACUUUAAAUUUGGGGUUUCAUUGUUGACCACAGCAUAAUCUGUAAGAGAAAACUUUAAGAUAAAUUCUUCUUAAUUUCUUUCUCCUGUAUGAAGGUCGUAAGGAAACAUUGUUGAGAAGUGUUAUUACAUUUUCUCUUUGGGUUGUGGCUGUUGUGAAAUCCAGCAAAUUAGCUUCAUAUAAAAUGUAGUGAAUCAUUCUGUUUUUUGUUUUAAAAGACAGUAUGAGAUUGUAGGAGUCCUAGGGCCUUCGGGUGACUGCCCAUGACUCCGUGAAUUUCCAUAUUUUUGAGAUUAAUCUGAUCAACAAUUAUUUUUGUGACAAUGUGGCAAAAUAGUGUGUAAAGCAAUUUUGCCCGUUUUGCCUGUCAAAAUGAAAUAAUGUCUUUUAUGUACAUAACCUUUCUAUCUUGAUCUCUCAAGUAGUGUCCAUUAUUCUUGCAUAUCUUUAAGUACCAGGUGACCUUUAGUUUCAAUAUUAGUAACCUAAAAAAGUCUAAUGACAUUGCAGGGAUGAAAGUCUGGUCUGAUCCAUUCAAGAAGGAAUAAUACUAAAGAUUUUUGCAUGUUUUGAAAAUGGACUUGAUGCUAGUACAAGAAAGGCUACUGAUGUGCAACAUUAAAUUGUUCUGUGCAACACUCUAUGGAUAUCAAGGGAUGAUAGGACCAAGCGUUUUGCAUGCAUGAAUGCUGUAAAUCCUCUAUCAAGAUUUGCUGCUUAAAUAACCCCCUCUAAUAAGCCACCCUUUUUAAAGUAGGAAUCAGCCAAUCAGGGAUGCAUAUCAUCCUGGCACUUUUGUUUAUUACCGUUUUUUUUCAAAAGGAGACUGAAUUGCGUUGCUGGCCAAUAGCAGGGGGCAUCCUAGACUUGCUCCAAGUCUCUCUUUCAUUGUCAUAUAGUAUCGAUCCACUACAGUGUAAAUUACAAGAGAAAUAUUGAAUUACAAAACUCAAUAGACCUUUCCGGUAAUUACGGCACAACUACACUGUUUUCAACUUAGGACCACUUUAAAUGGAAUAGAUUUCAAGUUCGUUUCUCACGGGCUAUGGUCAGAGAAGCAGAACAUCCUUCGUCGACACAUGCAUAAAAAAGAAUUUUGGAUUUUGACUAUUAAAUAUGGAAAUAAGCUUGGGACCAUGGCCCCUCUAGCCUCGUUUUCGUGUUUAAGCUUAUUUCCACAUUUAUUGGUCAAAAUCCAAAAUUAUUUUUUUAUGCAUGUGUUGAAGAAGGAGUUCUGCUCCUCUGUCGGCUCUGACCAUAGCCCGUGAGAAACUAAUUAAUUAGAACUACCGUGUUACAUUGAAGGCGAUUUAGAUUUGUAAUUAAAUCUUACGGCUUAUAAUCAAAUGCAGCACGAAAUAGUGGGAAACUGUUGUUUAUAUUGCUUUGUUUCAUUAUUUCAUAAAAAAAUGUUUCAAAAUCGGUCAUAAAAAGGUUUGAUCGGACACAUAGGCGUACCGGGCGGGGGGGGGGGCGGUAGCCCCCCAGUUUUUUGGGCAGUUGGGCAAUAUUUGAUCAACAGUCGGGCAAUUUUGGUUUGUACUAAAAAUAAAUGGGACAAAUUCUGUGAAUUUAGUCGAAAAUUCAGUCAAUUUUGUGUUGUUUGGAAAAUUUGUGUGAUGUUUCGAAAAAUUUUGGUAUGUCCGGAAAAAUUUUUUUACCCCUAAAAUGGUACACUGACCGAAAUUUUUUUGGCGACGGGGGGGGGGGUGUGAGGUCGCCGAAAUAAUUUUUCCGGAAAAAAUUUUUUAGGUACUAGUCGGGCAUAAUCCCGAAAAGUCGGGCAAAUUUCUUUCCGCCCCCCUAAUUUUUCCUUCCGGUACGCCCAUGAUCGGACGAAAGGUCAAAUGUGACCCAACAAUGCGGUGACCGACACUAAUUUGCAGUUCUGGUGGGCGUGCGUAUGUAUAGAAUGGGGGCUUGGAAGUUGUGGUUUUGCAGUUCUACGAACAAGUAGAGACAUAAUUGUGCUUCUCACCUCACGCAUAGAGGAAGACCUUUAGCGCUUGUCAGUUUUGACUUUCAGGACACAACGUUCAAUACAAGCACGAAUACAAGCAGUGAAUAUGACAUUUUAUUUGUAAGAUUAGUCACAUAAAUAAGAGAAAGUAUUUAACGGUAUAGUUAGUAAAUAUAUAUUAUACACAAUUAUAGUGAAAUUAGCCUUUCUCACGAAGGCUAAAAUACGCCAUUUUUGGGAAUUGGGGUAUUGUCUGCCCUUGUGAAUGAUUCUAGACAAUUCAAACUACGUGAAAAGCGACUUUUAAAAGUUGUAACUGUAAAUUGUUCGUGUUGCGGAGACUCUCAAACGUGGGAGAGGCAGUACACCCAAAAUGGCGGAAAAAUCGGCCGGGAGAAAGGCUAAUUAUAGAAAUGAGCAAAAUUUUCAACCGAUUGAUUUAUAUGUCCACGUCUUGUUUCAGAGAUAAUUCUUGAUGUUAAUAAUAUAAUUAUUGACUGAAUUUCAUCGUCUUUAAUACAGAUGUGUAAAAUUACUUUGCAGUAAAAUAAACUAGUUUUGUAUCAUUCUUGUGUGCUGUUAAUACCACGUAUUAAUUAGUACUGGUUCACACUAUUUGCAAGAGUUGAUAGAAAGAAGAGUUUACUAGCUUCUUCUGAUGAACAGUGGCGGACACUUGUAUAUGAUCACCUGUUGCUGGACAUCGUAAUUCUUUAAGGGGGGUUAUCCCACUAAUGGACGCUAAUGCUGGUACUGCACCUGCCUCGUCGCUUCAGUUGGGAAUAGAGAUCAGUGGAAAAACAAUGGGAGCGCGGUGCUUAAUGGGAAUGCGAUAGAAUCUCAAAUCAGCCCUGCUCAAAUUAACGCGACCGCGCGUACGAAUGAGGGACUGUGGAAGAGUCAGGUACUGCACCACAAGGUAUAGGAACUACUUAAUUAAUUCGAAGGCCUAAUAUUAAAAGGAUGACAAUCCUUUUCUCUGCGAUAGCAGCAGAGAAUGAUCUGGAAUGACAAAUACGUAUACGGGCGUCUAUAGAUCCAAUCCACCAUUACUGCAAUGAGUAAUACUGGACACUGCCACGUAAAACAGGUAGGCAAUUUGUCUGAGCAUGCGCGCAGAAAAUCAAUAUGGCGACAUAUAUCAGGAGUGUUUCGAGGAUUUAUCUGGUUUUAAAGCUGAUAAAACAACAUUUUAAUGAACGAAAACUUUGUAAUAUUUCGUGGAAAACAUUAAGCUGUGCAUUCCAAAGGUUUUAAAUAAAAAAUAAGUACUUUUGCUUUAUUUUAUUGCUUUUUAUGCCUUGAAAACAGGCAAGCUCAUAUUUUUUGAAAAAAUUUUAUCUAAUAUUUUACCCAUUAUUUGUUUAAUCUGAACAAAAAUAGAUAGAACACUUGGCUAUAUAAGCUAUAAAGGUAUUGUUAGCUGAUCUGAAAGAUUUCAGUAUUCCAGGUACACAUUUUAACAAAGAAUAAAAUUAAAAUAUAUGCAUAUCAAAAACAAUGGUUUUUAUUAGAACAACACAGAAUAAGUUGUUAUUUUCUAUUUUUACAUAAAACAAGUUUGAAAACAGGAUCUAGUCCUCCAGCUUGAUGUCAUAUUCCAUUUACUUGGAUAUUUGAAUAAAGGAAUGUGAAAUAAUAAUUGAAACUUGUCCAAAAUUUGAUACCAACACUGGAAUGAACAGAUACUAUCACCUAAAAAUAAAAGAACAGAACUUAAAUUUAUCAUAUAAUGCUAUGAAAAAAUCUUAGAUACUACAAGCAUAUAGUGAACACAACUCUUUAACAAAUUCACUAAAAUAAGUUAAGUUAUGCUACGAUAAGAGGAUGGCAAUAUAUGACAACACCAAAUGUUACCAUCUUCAGUGUCCAAAAAAAGUGCCGCGCACAUUUUUCGUGGUCGCAUAACUGGCAUUGCCACAAACCCAGGUGAAAAAGCAAUUAGAAAAACCUGGUUUUGGGUGAUGAGCAUAGUCAAAUUCUUGACUUAUUCAAUUUUCUAAGUUUUUCCAGGUAAACAGGUUCAACAUUGAAAUAAGCCCCAUUCGGGACCUCAUAGGGUCCAAAAUAUUGUGUAUGGACCAGAUUUUUUUCAAUUUUCUGUGAUUUACAUAACACUAGUUAUAAUUUAAGGGUCAACCAGUAUUGUUCAAGACAUAUUUUCCUUCCAGAACACCAUUUCAAAAUACUAACCCAAGCAUGUCAAAAAUAGUGUACAUUUACAAGGGCAAUUUCAACCCUCUGGCACAUUUUUCCUAUGAAUGAUUUUAAUUCUAAUAUAAAGACUAUAGAUAAAACUUUGAUUUAAAGCUGGUUUCAAGUGAUGAGCAUACCCUAAAUUUUAAGCUAUACCUCAAAGAAGAUAGGUAAUUUCAACAUAAACAUUGAAAUAUAGGUAUACUGACAGCUCUGUCACACGUGUAGUUUGACAUUAGCAAACCUUCUGAAACAUUUUAAUGAAAGUAUAAUUCACAAAGUUCACA
RNAcentral lists this long non-coding RNA (5411 nucleotides) under Paramuricea clavata. The record is from RNAcentral. Lineage: Eukaryota; Metazoa; Cnidaria; Anthozoa; Malacalcyonacea; Plexauridae.